RNAcentral lists this ribosomal RNA (460 nucleotides) under uncultured bacterium. RNAcentral's name for it is "partial 16S ribosomal RNA". It matches the Rfam family "Bacterial small subunit ribosomal RNA", at positions 338 to 795 of the family's 1533-position model. The record is from RNAcentral.
CCUACGGGUGGCAGCAGUGAGGAAUAUUGGUCAAUGGGCGCGAGUCUGAACCAGCCAAGUAGCGUGAAGGAUGACUGCCCUAUGGGUUGUAAACUUCUUUUAUAUGGGAAUAAAGUGUUUCACGUGUGCCUUUUUGUAUGUACUUUAUGAAUAAGGAUCGGCUAACUCCGUGCCAGCAGCCGCGGUAAUACGGAGGAUCCGAGCGUUAUCCGGAUUUAUUGGGUUUAAAGGGAGCGUAGGUGGGUUGUUAAGUCAGUUGUGAAAGUUUGCGGCUCAACCGUAAAAUUGCAAUUGAAACUGGCAGUCUUGAGUACAGUAGAGGUAGGCGGAAUUCGUGGUGUAGCGGUGAAAUGCUUAGAUAUCACGAAGAACUCCGAUUGCGAAGGCAGCUUACUAGACUGCAACUGACACUGAGGCUCGAAAGUGUGGGUAUCAAACAGGAUUAGAUACCCCUGUAGUC